UUUCGGAUUCGACCGUCUGACCCUAUAUAUAGGGCGUCGGGUUCGCCCGACUAUGACGAUAAACGUUUUUCGCAAUAAACGUUCGGACCCGGGGGCAGUACCCGGCGCCUCCACCAAUUAUUCCCGGAUUAUCACGGCUUCAGUCGCGGACGGAACGGGGGCGAAACAGGAUCGACGGGCGCGUAAAGGUUGAACUUUCGUCCGGCAUGGUACCACCGACAUCGGGCCAUAUUCACAGGUGCCAACGAUAAUGUUGAGCCCUUCGCUGUUGCCGCUUAAUAACCGGUAAUAAGCGCGGUUCGGGGGGCACCGGGCAACAGAAGCCCCCCAC
RNAcentral lists this transfer-messenger RNA (331 nucleotides) under marine eukaryotic metagenome. RNAcentral describes it as "Alphaproteobacteria transfer-messenger RNA". It matches the Rfam family "Alphaproteobacteria transfer-messenger RNA". Rfam says of the family: Bacterial tmRNA, also known as 10Sa RNA or SsrA, is named for its dual tRNA and mRNA-like properties. Its role is to liberate the mRNA from a stalled ribosome. The record is from RNAcentral.